RNAcentral lists this ribosomal RNA (397 nucleotides) under uncultured bacterium. RNAcentral describes it as "partial 16S ribosomal RNA". It matches the Rfam family "Bacterial small subunit ribosomal RNA", at positions 523 to 918 of the family's 1533-position model. The record is from RNAcentral.
AUACGUAGGGGGCGAGCGUUGUCCGGAAUGAUUGGGCGUAAAGGGCGCGUAGGCGGCCCGUUAAGUCUGGAGUGAAAGUCCUGUUUUCAAGAUGGGAAUUGCUUUGGAUACUGAUGGGCUUGAGUGCAGGAGAGGUCAUCGGAAUUCCCGGUGUAGCGGUGAAAUGCGUAGAGAUCGGGAGGAACACCAGUGGCGAAGGCGGGUAACUGGACUGCAACUGACGCUGAGGCGCGAAAGUGUGGGGAGCAAACAGGAUUAGAUACCCUGGUAGUCCACACUGUAAACGAUGAAUGCUAGGUGUAAGAGGUAUCGACCCCUUUUGUGCCGGAGUUAACACAAUAAGCAUUCCGCCUGGGGAGUACGGCCGCAAGGUUGAAACUCAAAGGAAUUGACGGGG